RNAcentral lists this ribosomal RNA (450 nucleotides) under uncultured bacterium. RNAcentral describes it as "bacterial SSU rRNA". It matches the Rfam family "Bacterial small subunit ribosomal RNA", at positions 29 to 524 of the family's 1533-position model. The record is from RNAcentral.
AACGAACGCUGGCGGCAUGCCUAACACAUGCAAGUCGAACGAGACCUUCGGGUCUAGUGGCGCACGGGUGCGUAACGCGUGGGAAUCUGCCCUUGGGUUCGGAAUAACAGCGAGAAAUUGCUGCUAAUACCGGAUGAUGACGUAAGUCCAAAGAUUUAUCGCCCAAGGAUGAGCCCGCGUAGGAUUAGCUAGUUGGUGAGGUAAAGGCUCACCAAGGCGACGAUCCUUAGCUGGUCUGAGAGGAUGAUCAGCCACACUGGGACUGAGACACGGCCCAGACUCCUACGGGAGGCAGCAGUGGGGAAUAUUGGAUAAUGGGCGAAAGCCUGAUCCAGCAAUGCCGCGUGAGUGAUGAAGGCCUUAGGGUUGUAAAGCUCUUUUACCCGGGACGAUGAUGACGGUACCUGGAGAAUAAGCCCCGGCUAACUUCGUGCCAGCAGCCGCGGUAAU